CAUUGCAGAGCUGUGGGCAGAUGAAAUGCACGUGGGCAUCGAAGCCGCCGGCCGUGAUGAUCAGCCCUUCGCCGGCGAUCACUUCGGUGUUGACGCCGACGAUCAUGUUGUCCAUGACGCCGUCCAUCACGUCCGGGUUGCCGCCCUUGCCGAUGCCUGCGAUCAUGCCGUCCUUGAUACCGAUAUCGGCCUUGUAGAUGCCCGUGUAGUCGAUGAUCAGCGCGUUCGUGAUGAUCGUGUCGAGCACCUUAGUGGCACCAAUGCCCGAGGCCUGGCCCAUGCCUUCGCGAAG
This 292-nucleotide small RNA is filed under the name Globisporangium ultimum DAOM BR144. Its description in RNAcentral is "Pythium ultimum DAOM BR144 5' ureB small RNA". It matches the Rfam family "5' ureB small RNA". Lineage: Eukaryota; Oomycota; Peronosporomycetes; Pythiales; Pythiaceae. The record is from Rfam by way of RNAcentral.